GAGUGAUAGGAUUGUAAUAAUCUAAUAUCAUAGGGACUGGCCGCCAUUGUGGUAUAAAAGGUCAUUAGCACGGAGAAGACAACCAAGGCAGGCUGAUCAUCAGGAAGGAGGCCAUCAGGCUACCAGCACGGUACUGGCCUGGUAGCACCACAUGAACAAGUUCUCUUCUUCCCUGCCGGUGAUGAUGGCGAUCAUCCUGGUCGUCACCGCCGUCGUGUCUUCCUCCGUCGUCCACGGCUCGGAGGCCCGAGCCCAAGCAGGUACGCACGCGUCCAGUUGAUUAAUCGAUCGAGCAGCUCGGAACCUGCUUCCUGCUCUUCUGUUGAUAUCUCGCUCUAGGCCGGCACUGAGAUUAAACUGCUCAUGACGACGACGACGAAACGUGUGCGUGCAGAUAUAGAUGGUGCUGUUCUACCUCACCCGGAUGGAGGCCACAAGGGCCCGGCGCCGCCGGCGCCGCAGGGCAAGCCACCACACCGGCCGCAGCCGCCGUGCUGCGUCCGGCCAGGCGCGUAACAUCUCAAACACCAAGACACGGAGCCAGCGCCGGCCAACGAUUAGGCGGAGUACGAGUCUACCGAAACUUUUUAGCCGCGUGGAUUGUCUUGAGAUCGGGAGAUAUUGUACUAACUUGAUAUAAUUGCUUUGAUUUCAGUAAAACUUCCUUCUCCUGUUAAGAAACGAUUCUUAUUCAGAAUCAUCUUAAUUGUCACAUCCUUUGGUCAAUUAAUUGUACAGCUUUGAAUUUGUGUGGAGCACAAUGAGC
Molecule: long non-coding RNA, 766 nt
Filed under: Panicum hallii
Lineage: Eukaryota; Viridiplantae; Streptophyta; Magnoliopsida; Poales; Poaceae
Description: long non-coding RNA (PHAL_LNC000586)
Source: RNAcentral